AUUGAACGCUGGCGGCAGGCCUAACACAUGCAAGUCGAGCGGUAGAGAGAAGCUUGCUUCUCUUGAGAGCGGCGGACGGGUGAGUAAUGCCUAGGAAUCUGCCUGGUAGUGGGGGAUAACGUUCGGAAACGGACGCUAAUACCGCAUACGUCCUACGGGAGAAAGCAGGGGACCUUCGGGCCUUGCGCUAUCAGAUGAGCCUAGGCCGGAUUAGCUAGUUGGUGGGGUAAUGGCUCACCAAGGCGACGAUCCGUAACUGGUCUGAGAGGAUGAUCAGUCACACUGGAACUGAGACACGGUCCAGACUCCUACGGGAGGCAGCAGUGGGGAAUAUUGGACAAUGGGCGAAAGCCUGAUCCAGCCAUGCCGCGUGUGUGAAGAAGGUCUUCGGAUUGUAAAGCACUUUAAGUUGGGAGGAAGGGCAGUAAAUUAAUACUUUGCUGUUUUGACGUUACCGACAGAAUAAGCACCGGCUAACUCUGUG
This 484-nucleotide ribosomal RNA is filed under the name uncultured bacterium. Its description in RNAcentral is "partial 16S ribosomal RNA". It matches the Rfam family "Bacterial small subunit ribosomal RNA", at positions 30 to 507 of the family's 1533-position model. The record is from RNAcentral.